Molecule: transfer RNA, 65 nt
Filed under: Gomphiocephalus hodgsoni
Lineage: Eukaryota; Metazoa; Arthropoda; Collembola; Poduromorpha; Hypogastruridae
Description: tRNA-Pro
Rfam family: tRNA
About the family: Transfer RNA (tRNA) molecules are approximately 80 nucleotides in length. Their secondary structure includes four short double-helical elements and three loops (D, anti-codon, and T loops). Further hydrogen bonds mediate the characteristic L-shaped molecular structure. tRNAs have two regions of fundamental functional importance: the anti-codon, which is responsible for specific mRNA codon recognition, and the 3' end, to which the tRNAs corresponding amino acid is attached (by aminoacyl-tRNA synthetases). tRNAs cope with the degeneracy of the genetic code in two manners: having more than one tRNA (with a specific anti-codon) for a particular amino acid; and 'wobble' base-pairing, i.e. permitting non-standard base-pairing at the 3rd anti-codon position.
Source: RNAcentral
CAUAAGAUAGUUUAAUGUAAAAUGUUGACUUUGGGAGUCAUUGAUAAUAUUAGUAUUUCUUUUGA